This 202-nucleotide long non-coding RNA is filed under the name Capsella rubella. Its description in RNAcentral is "long non-coding RNA (CRUB_LNC003648)". The record is from RNAcentral. Lineage: Eukaryota; Viridiplantae; Streptophyta; Magnoliopsida; Brassicales; Brassicaceae.
UUAUACAUGAAACGUGUAUACAAAUGGAAGGGACAUGAAGAAGAAGGAUGGGACAAGAUGUUCAAACUUUAUACUAAGAAUGGGUAACAUUUUAACAUGGCUUACUCGUCAGCUCUCUCUUCUUCUUUUUUUUUUUUUUUUCUCCACUAUUUUUGGCUUUACUGUUGUUUUUUUCCCUUACCCAAUUUUCAUGUGAUUCCCA